CAGUUGCAAAGAUUUGAGGUAAUCUUUUGGGCCAGACCAGGGCCCUAUUGUUAUGAUAACCCAACUUCACUAGGCAUCUACCAUAGCUAUCCAAAAACUUCAUGACCACUUCAGGACAAAGUGAAGCUGUUUUCACCCAGGCCAGGCUCCUGCUUCCAUCACUCUCUUGGCUCGCUGGCCUUAUCUAACCCUAGGCACUUGUAGCGUGUGAGUCUGCUGGAAUCUAUACCACAGGGUCUCACACUAUGCAGCUGAAGUUGGCCGACAACUCCUGAUCCUCUGGCGUGCUAGGAUCAUUGGCAAGACUCCCUUACUGGACUCAAUGCUGAACCAUUCUGACCUCAAGAGAAUGCCGUACAAGGAAUUUGUUAUCUUCGGUUAACAGCAGAGCAGUAGACUCAGCGUCUGGGGAAAGUUUUACUGAUCUUCGUUGCUCCUGAUACAUAAAUAUCUUCACCUCCCCAAGAUCUAAAAGGCUUCAGUCUGCUCUAUCCCAGGUUGUUGGCAUCUUCAAUAAAUUCUUUGGUCCCC
This is a long non-coding RNA of Rattus norvegicus (Norway rat), 531 nucleotides long. Ensembl lists it as uncharacterized. The record is from Ensembl. NCBI's taxonomy places the organism in Eukaryota, Metazoa, Chordata, Mammalia, Rodentia, Muridae.